This 482-nucleotide ribosomal RNA is filed under the name uncultured bacterium. RNAcentral describes it as "partial 16S ribosomal RNA". It matches the Rfam family "Bacterial small subunit ribosomal RNA", at positions 28 to 523 of the family's 1533-position model. The record is from RNAcentral.
GACGAACGCUGGAGGCGUGCUUAACACAUGCAAGUCGAACGAUGAAAUGGAGCUUGCUCCAUGGAUUAGUGGCGAACGGGUGAGUAACACGUGAAUAACCUGCCCUUAAUUUUGGAAUAACCCAGGGAAACCUGGGUUAAUACCGGAUAAGUAAACCUGUGGCAUAACAUGGUUUUUGAAAGUUUUUCGAUUAAGGAUGGAUUCGCGGCCUAUCAGCUUGUUGGUGAGGUAAUGGCUCACCAAGGCGACGACGGGUAGCCGGCCUGAGAGGGUGAACGGCCACACUGGGACUGAGACACGGCCCAGACUCCUACGGGAGGCAGCAGUGGGGAAUAUUGCGCAAUGGACGAAAGUCUGACGCAGCGACGCCUCGUGAGGGACGAAGGUCUUCGGAUUGUAAACCUCUUUCAGCAGGGACGAAGCGAAAGUGACGGUACCUGCAGAAGAAGCACCGGCUAACUAUGUGCCAGCCGCCGCAGUAA